This 73-nucleotide transfer RNA is filed under the name Camelus bactrianus (Bactrian camel). It matches the Rfam family "tRNA". Rfam says of the family: Transfer RNA (tRNA) molecules are approximately 80 nucleotides in length. Their secondary structure includes four short double-helical elements and three loops (D, anti-codon, and T loops). RNAcentral also lists the same sequence under 2 other names. The record is from Rfam by way of RNAcentral. Lineage: Eukaryota; Metazoa; Chordata; Mammalia; Artiodactyla; Camelidae.
GAGGGUGUAGCUCAGUGGUUAGAGUAUAUGCCUAGCAUGCACGAGGUCCUGGGUUCAGUCCCUAGUACCUGCA